Molecule: transfer RNA, 84 nt
Filed under: Parcubacteria group bacterium
Lineage: Bacteria
Description: tRNA-Leu
Rfam family: tRNA
About the family: Transfer RNA (tRNA) molecules are approximately 80 nucleotides in length. Their secondary structure includes four short double-helical elements and three loops (D, anti-codon, and T loops). Further hydrogen bonds mediate the characteristic L-shaped molecular structure. tRNAs have two regions of fundamental functional importance: the anti-codon, which is responsible for specific mRNA codon recognition, and the 3' end, to which the tRNAs corresponding amino acid is attached (by aminoacyl-tRNA synthetases). tRNAs cope with the degeneracy of the genetic code in two manners: having more than one tRNA (with a specific anti-codon) for a particular amino acid; and 'wobble' base-pairing, i.e. permitting non-standard base-pairing at the 3rd anti-codon position.
Source: RNAcentral
GCCGAGAUGGCGGAAUUGGUAGACGCAACAGACUUAAAAUCUGUUGUCCGGAUGGGCGUGCGGGUUCGAGCCCCGCUCUCGGUA